This 422-nucleotide ribosomal RNA is filed under the name uncultured bacterium. RNAcentral describes it as "bacterial SSU rRNA". It matches the Rfam family "Bacterial small subunit ribosomal RNA", at positions 355 to 774 of the family's 1533-position model. The record is from RNAcentral.
UGAGGAAUAUUGGACAAUGGGUGGAAGCCUGAUCCAGCCAUCCCGCGUGAAGGAUGACGGUCCUAUGGAUUGUAAACUUCUUUUGUACAGGGAUAAACCUGCCCUCGUGAGGGCAGCUGAAGGUACUGUACGAAUAAGCACCGGCUAACUCCGUGCCAGCAGCCGCGGUAAUACGGAGGGUGCGAGCGUUAUCCGGAUUUAUUGGGUUUAAAGGGUCCGUAGGCGGGCCUGUAAGUCAGUGGUGAAAUCUCAUAGCUUAACUAUGGAACUGCCAUUGAUACUGCAGGCCUUGAGUAAAUUUGAAGUGGCUGGAAUAAGUAGUGUAGCGGUGAAAUGCAUAGAUAUUACUUAGAACACCGAUUGCGAAGGCAGGUCACUAAGAUUUAACUGACGCUGAUGGACGAAAGCGUGGGGAGCGAACA